RNAcentral lists this small RNA (339 nucleotides) under Pongo abelii (Sumatran orangutan). RNAcentral describes it as "sense intronic". The record is from RNAcentral. Lineage: Eukaryota; Metazoa; Chordata; Mammalia; Primates; Hominidae.
AAAAAUACCCCCUAAGCACAGUAAUGCAUUUUGUUAUGAAGGAAUAGAAAUGCAAAUUUUGAGUGUGAAAAUUUGAUCUAGUAAACAAAAAUCAACCUCUAAGACCCUUUUAACCUAAAAUUGUUUUCAGAGUCUUCAUGUCUUUUCAUAUGUUCAUCCCUUUCUUUUUUUUUUUUUUUUUGAGACAUAGUCUCACUCUGUCACCCAGGCUGGAAUGCAAUGGCACAAUCUCAGCUCACUGCAGCCUCUGCCUCCCAGGAGGAUUGCUUGAGGCCAGGAGUUCGAGACCAGCCUGAGCAACAUAGUGAGGCCCCAUCUCUACAGAAGUUUUUAUAAAUU